This is a long non-coding RNA of Oxyura jamaicensis (ruddy duck), 538 nucleotides long. RefSeq lists it as uncharacterized. Lineage: Eukaryota; Metazoa; Chordata; Aves; Anseriformes; Anatidae. The transcript is spliced from 3 exons. The record is from RefSeq and is a predicted model, not a curated record.
UCUGCUCUCCACCCCCUCCCACCAGCACAGGGUACUGGGUAUCCAGGUUUCCCCCCAGCAUCUAGUAAAGGAUGGAGAUUCUCCUUUGUCCUCCUUUUUGUGUUAAUGUAUUUAUAAAAACAUUUUGUGUUAUCUUUAACAGCAGUAGCCAGGUAGAGCUCCAGAUGAGCUUUGGCCUUUCUAAUUCCAUCCCUGCAAAGCUUUACAACAUCCUCAUACUCCUCCUGAGUGGCCUGCCCUCUUUUCCAAAGAUCAUAAACCCUCUUUUUUUUCCUAAGCUCUAGCCACAACUCUCUGUUCAGCCAGGUCAGUCUUCUUCCACGCUGGCUUGUCUUCAGGCAUGUGGGGACAGACCAGUCCUGAACCUUUAAGAUUUCCAUCUUGAGGAGUGCCCAGCCUUCCUGGACUCCUCUGCCCUUCAGUACUGCCUUCCAAGGGUCUCUGCUAACCAGUGUCCUGUACAGCUGAAAGUUUGCCCUCCUUUAUUUCAGGAAUUUGCUGUGGUUGUCAAAGACUAAACCCAUAGAAGCAUGGGAGA